RNAcentral lists this unclassified non-coding RNA (194 nucleotides) under uncultured fungus. RNAcentral describes it as "sequence contains ITS1". The record is from RNAcentral. RNAcentral also lists the same sequence under 1 other name. Lineage: Eukaryota; Fungi.
AAAUAGUACGCCCAGCCAAGGUAAAACCACCGGCCGCUGGUGCUGUAUUCAACCACUUGUAUACUUGUACCUGUUGCUUCCGUGGAGUUACGGGUGAUCGCCCUGUUCGCAGGUGUGGGUUACCUUCCACGGGUGUAUUUUGAACACUUGUUUAAUUGUAUGUGGAGUCUGAAUAGCUAUUGUAAUAAAGUUUA